AUGAAUAGGAGCAAGCCUGGCUCAUAGCAAUCAACAAAAAUGAUUAUAUAUAUCAUAAAUGGCAGAGCAAUAAUGUUGCGAGGAACAUGUAGUCUGGUUAGUGGAAAAUGAAGAAGUAACAUAGCAGCUGCCCGAACUCUGAGCUGCCUUAAAUUUACUAGGCUAAAUUAGAAGAUCUUUUAUCAUCCCUACGUGCCACUCUAGUUAUUUCGCCUCCCAA
RNAcentral lists this long non-coding RNA (220 nucleotides) under Setaria italica (foxtail millet). RNAcentral describes it as "long non-coding RNA (SITA_LNC002562)". The record is from RNAcentral. Lineage: Eukaryota; Viridiplantae; Streptophyta; Magnoliopsida; Poales; Poaceae.